Molecule: non-coding RNA, 992 nt
Organism: Callithrix jacchus (white-tufted-ear marmoset)
Lineage: Eukaryota; Metazoa; Chordata; Mammalia; Primates; Cebidae
Source: RefSeq, a predicted model, not a curated record
AAUGUGUCAGCAAAAAUUGAUAAUUUGAAUUUCUCUUUUCCACCUUGGAUGGCUUUUCUUUUCUUUUCUAUUGCCUGGGUUUUCUGCUGAGGGCUUCCAGUUCUGUAUUAGAUAGGAGUGGUGCCAGUGGACAUUCUUGUCUUUUUCCAGUUAGUAGGGGGGAUGCUUUCAACAUUUUCCCAUUCGGGAGGAUGUUAGCUGUGAGUUUGUCGUGUAUGGCUCCUAUUAUUUUUAGAUAUAUCUUCAAUAUAUAGUUUGCUAAGGGUUUUAUGAGAAAGAAAUGUUGGAUUCUAUGAAAUGCUUUUGUAUCUCUUUUGAAAUGACCAUAUGGUUUUUCUUUUAAAUUUUGGUUAUGUGGUGAAUCAAAUUUAUUGAUUUGUGGAUGUUGAAACACCCCUUCUUUCUGGAAUAAAACCCACUUGAUCAUGAAAAUUAUCUCUUCGAUGUGCUCUUGCUUUCGGUUUACUAGUAUUUUGUUGGGAACAUUUGCAUCCAUGUUCAUCAGGGAUAUUGGCCUUUAGAUUUUACGUUGUGUUGUUGACUGACUUUGGUAUCAAGGUGAUGCUUGUUUCCUGGAAGGAGUUACAGAGAAAUCCUUUCUUCUCCAUAUUAUAAAAUACCUACAGGAAGGAAUUUUCCAGUCACAGAUGUUAUUUCCACACAUCUGGACACACUGUACUUGCGUCCUGUGAAAUUGGGACAAGGCCAGCAGAUGUGUCCUCCGGCUCCUCAGGUUCAGGGCGUGAACUGCUCUCAGACCACUAAGAAACACUGAAGAGGAGCAAUGGAGUUUAUUUGUGGACACCCCCGUGAGAAUGGCCAGACAGGCAGUCUUGGGAGGGAACAGGACAUGGAUGAAUCUGGAGAACGUCAUCCUCAGCAAACUGACACAAGAACAGAAAAUGAAACACCGCAUAUUCUCACUAAUAGGCGGGUGAUGAAAAAUGAGAACACAUGGACACAGAAAGGGGAGUACUAAACACUGGGGUCUU